RNAcentral lists this long non-coding RNA (640 nucleotides) under Olea europaea subsp. europaea. The record is from RNAcentral. Lineage: Eukaryota; Viridiplantae; Streptophyta; Magnoliopsida; Lamiales; Oleaceae.
CCAAGUGUUGGAAAUUAAAGACGUAAUUUAUUGAGCACUUUCAUUGUAAAUAGCAUUACUCGAAGAAAAUACAGAUGUAGAAAUAUAAACAUAAUUUAUCGAAUACUUUCUAUUGCAAUUAGCAGAAUCUUUAUUUAAAAAACAAAAAAAAAAAAUUAUCUUAAGCGAUCCCAUCCUUUAAAAAACCGCUUUCAAAAUAAGUCAUAAACUUGCCUAAGAUAUGUGCAAUAAAACCGUCCUCUUCCUCCAUAUGCUCGAAAUCUAGAUCUGCAAGAUCAACUAGUUCCCCCUCAUCUUCUUCAAUCCCCAACAUCUUUUUAGGCAAUUUCUGUUUAUGUUUGGAUUCUUGAACAUUGGAAACUUGAGACUUGCUUUCCUGUCAUUUUUUUUUUCAUAUUUGCCCUCGUAUGGCCAGUAAAUGCAGUUGAACUUGCCUUGGUAGAGUCGAGGUUAGACUUUGUGUGGAUGGUAUGCGGAGCAGGCGGCAGCGACUUCAGUGACAGAGGAGGAAGGUGUAGGAGGAUUGCUAUAAUUACUCGAACUUUGAUUGGCACUGAACUGACCUCCCUCGAUUAUCAAUUAAACCAUGUUUGUCCCUUAAGGGCUUGCUUUUCUAGCUUAAAGUUUAUGAGCAUCUCUU